Non-coding RNA from Oryza glumipatula, 177 nucleotides. The record is from Rfam. NCBI's taxonomy places the organism in Eukaryota, Viridiplantae, Streptophyta, Magnoliopsida, Poales, Poaceae.
GUCAAGUGCGGCCAUAAAUUUCGUUGUCCAACUUUAAUCAUCCGUUUUAUUUAAUUUUUUUUAUUAUUAAAUUAUAAAACAUAAAUAGUAUUUUAUGCGUGAUUUAUUUUUUUUCUAAAAAAAUUAAAUAAAAUAAACAAUUAAAACUAGAUACAGAAACUCAUGGCUGCGUUCAUU